This 425-nucleotide ribosomal RNA is filed under the name uncultured bacterium. RNAcentral describes it as "bacterial SSU rRNA". It matches the Rfam family "Bacterial small subunit ribosomal RNA", at positions 356 to 772 of the family's 1533-position model. The record is from RNAcentral.
GGGGAAUAUUGGACAAUGGGCGAAAGCCUGAUCCAGCGACGCCGCGUGAGUGAUGAAGGCCUUCGGGUUGUAAAGCUCUGUUGAGGGAGAAGAAAACAGUUAGGGCGAAUAGGCCUAGCUCUUGACGGUAUCCCUUUAGAAAGCACCGGCUAACUCUGUGCCAGCAGCCGCGGUAAUACGAAGGGUGCAAGCGUUACUCGGAAUUACUGGGCGUAAAGCGUGCGUAGGUGGUUCGUUAAGUCUGAUGUGAAAGCCCUGGGCUCAACCUGGGAAUGGCAUUGGAUACUGGCGACCUAGAGUGCGGUAGAGGGGUGUGGAAUUCCCGGUGUAGCAGUGAAAUGCGUAGAUAUCGGGAGGAACAUCUGUGGCGAAGGCGACACCCUGGACCAGCACUGACACUGAGGCACGAAAGCGUGGGGAGCAAA